UGGGGAAUAUUGCACAAUGGGCGCAAGCCUGAUGCAGCCAUGCCGCGUGUAUGAAGAAGGCCUUCGGGUUGUAAAGUACCGAUAGAAGAAGCCCCGGCUAACUUCGUGCCAGCAGCCGCGGUAAUACGAGGGGGGCAAGCGUUGUUCGGAAUUAUUGGGCGUAAAGGGCGCGUAGGCGGUUUGGCAAGUUUGGUGUGAAAUCUUCGGGCUCAACUCGAAGUCUGCACCGAAAACUGCCGGGCUUGAGUAUGGGAGAGGUGAGUGGAAUUUCCGGUGUAGCGGUGAAAUGCGUAGAGAUCUGGAGGAAUACCGGUGGCGAAGGCGGCCCCCUGGACAAAGACUGACGCUCAGGUGCGAAAGCGUGGGGAGCAAACAGG
This 377-nucleotide ribosomal RNA is filed under the name uncultured bacterium. RNAcentral's name for it is "bacterial SSU rRNA". It matches the Rfam family "Bacterial small subunit ribosomal RNA", at positions 355 to 776 of the family's 1533-position model. The record is from RNAcentral.